This is a non-coding RNA of Leptonychotes weddellii (Weddell seal), 391 nucleotides long. The record is from RefSeq and is a predicted model, not a curated record. NCBI's taxonomy places the organism in Eukaryota, Metazoa, Chordata, Mammalia, Carnivora, Phocidae.
GUUGCCAAAAACCUACCACGUGGGAGGGGCAGACCGCACUUGGAGAACUGCGACAUUCGGGUUCCUCUCCUUGGUAUCCCCAGUGGUUUAAUGAAGUCUGAGACACUUUUAAUGCUCCUACAAAAAGUGGAUACGUCGGAAAGAUCCUAUCGUAAGAGAUGCAUCACACUAUGGAAUACGAAUCAGCCACUCAGAUUUAUACUUGCAGAGUGCCAAGAACUUCCCGGAUUGUGCUCCAACAAGUGGAAUUCACACUAAUUCUGAGACUGGUGCUCCUAGAAGUUGUGCAGAGGGCAGCCCUGACAGAAAGCUCAAGCUCAUGCCUCUUUUUUCAUUUUUAUAUUUUAUUAUUAUGUAUUUUUAUUAGCCACCUCCAAUUUUGAAUGCAAAU